GAUCAGUCUCUAGCCAACAGCACAUCUUCUGGGAACAAAUGAUUGUUGUCCUCAUUCAACAAAGUAAUAACAAGAAAAAUAGGACUGGAGACAGAAGGCAGCGAUGAGUAUGGAUCUGUGUCUUAGUGUCCGGCACUAGAGGAAGACAUUUAACUCCAGGGUGAAUUCCUGCAGGGGACCCGAUCCUGGGCACAGAGUUCCAAGGAACAUCAAACAAGAAAAAUACAACCAAGUUCUUCCACCAUGGAGAAGAUCCCCAUUAGAUCCAGCUGCAGAGCAGGGCUAUGGCUCAUCUCUCCAUGCCUUUGCUAUUGGAGUGUUCCCAGAGUGGUUCAGUGCAACACGUAACUCGGCACACUGUGAUGGAAACUUGGCUUGCUCUGUUCCCAGUGGCCAAUUCUGAAUUCUCCUUUUUGGAAAGAUGGUGAAACCUUCCUAACAAAAAGGAAAAAGAAGUCUUCUAAAUCCAGGCUGUGACUACUUUCCCUCAUCCAUGAAGUAGAGAUGCAUUUAUCACACAAUCUGAGGGUAAGAUGUUCUGUAUUAGACUUUCAAAAGAAGCAGAACUUAGUUGCAAAUAUUUUGCAAGGCUCUGUAGCCCUCUUCAGGGGCACAGCAGGCAGAAGUGGUUGAGAAAUCCAGGACUUCUAAGGUAGUAAAACCACAAAGCUCUGAUCUGACUAUGAAUGUUACAUUGCAUUUCAUUAUUGGUUCGGCACACAUUAUAACGGGUGAAAAUAGAAGGCUUCAUCUGUAUCUUGGAAUCUCUGCACUUAUACUACCAUGAAAGAUAUUUUAUAUUUAACUUUUAAGGUUGCCGCCUUGAAUAGAAGAAGAAAAUAACCUUUAUUUGAGCAGAUAUUACACUAAAUAUUGGCAUGUGCAUAAAUAGAGGCUGUAGUCAGAAAAUACUAUCCAUAAAGAUUUAGGGGCCAUUGCUCAAAGUGAAUAAAUUUAUCCCUUGUUCACGUGCA
Molecule: long non-coding RNA, 974 nt
Filed under: Phasianus colchicus (ring-necked pheasant)
Lineage: Eukaryota; Metazoa; Chordata; Aves; Galliformes; Phasianidae
Description: lncRNA (ENSPCLG00000004948.1)
Source: RNAcentral